UAGUCCACGCCGUAAACGAUGAGAACUAGAUGUCGGGAGGAUCAGCCUUUCGGUGUCGCAGUUAACGCAUUAAGUUCUCCGCCUGGGGAGUACGCCGGCAACGGUAAAACUCAAAGGAAUUGACGGGACCCGCACAAGCGGUGGAGCAUGUGGUUUAAUUCGAUGCAACGCGAAGAACCUUACCUGCCCUUGACAUUGACAGAAUCCUGUAGAGAUACGGGAGUGCUUCGGCCUGGAAAACAGGUGCUGCAUGGCUGUCGUCAGCUCGUGUCGUGAGAUGUUGGGUUAAGUCCCGCAACGAGCGCAACCCUUGUCCUUAGUUGCCAGCACUUCGGGUGGAACUCUAAGGAGACCGCCGGUGACAAACCGGNGGAAGGUGGGGACGACGUCAAGUCAUCAUGGCCCUUAUGGGGCAGGGGCUACACACGUGCUACAAUGGGUUGGUACAGGAGGGGUUGCCAAGGCGGCAACGGUGGAGCUAAUCCCUUAAAGCCAAUCGUAGUCCGGGAUCGGGAGUCUGCAACUC
RNAcentral lists this ribosomal RNA (526 nucleotides) under uncultured bacterium. Its description in RNAcentral is "bacterial SSU rRNA". It matches the Rfam family "Bacterial small subunit ribosomal RNA", at positions 791 to 1313 of the family's 1533-position model. The record is from RNAcentral.